UACGGGGGGGGCAAGCGUUGUUCGGAAUUACUGGGCGUAAAGGGCUCGUAGGCGGCCAACUAAGUCGGACGUGAAAUCCCCAGGCUCAACCUGGGAACUGCGUCCGAUACUGGAUGGCUUGAAUCCGGGAGAGGGAUGCAGAAUUCCAGGUGUAGCGGUGAAAUGCGUGGAUAUCUGGAGGAAUACCGGUGGCGAAGGCGGCAUCCUGGACCGGCAUUGACGCUGAGGAGCGAAAGCCAGGGGAGCAAACGGG
RNAcentral lists this ribosomal RNA (253 nucleotides) under uncultured bacterium. Its description in RNAcentral is "partial 16S ribosomal RNA". It matches the Rfam family "Bacterial small subunit ribosomal RNA", at positions 524 to 776 of the family's 1533-position model. The record is from RNAcentral.